This 479-nucleotide ribosomal RNA is filed under the name uncultured bacterium. RNAcentral describes it as "partial 16S ribosomal RNA". It matches the Rfam family "Bacterial small subunit ribosomal RNA", at positions 28 to 507 of the family's 1533-position model. The record is from RNAcentral.
GAUGAACGCUAGCGGGAGGCCUAACACAUGCAAGCCGAGCGGUAGAGUUUCUUCGGAAACUUGAGAGCGGCGCACGGGUGCGUAACACGUGUGCAACCUACCUUUAUCUGGGGGAUAGCCUUUCGAAAGGAAGAUUAAUACCCCAUAAUAUAAUGAUUGGCAUCAAUUAUUAUUGAAAACUCCGGUGGCUAGAGAUGGGCACGCGCAAGAUUAGAUAGUUGGUGAGGUAACGGCUCACCAAGUCAAUGAUCUUUAGGGGUCCUGAGAGGGAGAUCCCCCACACUGGUACUGAGACACGGACCAGACUCCUACGGGAGGCAGCAGUGAGGAAUAUUGGACAAUGGGUGAGAGCCUGAUCCAGCCAUCCCGCGUGAAGGAUGACGGUCCUAUGGAUUGUAAACUUCUUUUGUACAGGGAUAAACCUACCCUCGUGAGGGUAGCUGAAGGUACUGUACGAAUAAGCACCGGCUAACUCCGUG